UUGCGUGAUGACGUCAGACUCGAAACACCAAGGAUUUAGUGAGAGCCCUCGCCCGCAGAGCCAAAGGGGUGAAGCAAAGCUCCAGCUCCCCCUCGCGGGACCUAGUGGGCGGAGCUUGAGCUACUCUACUCUGUUUACAGGCCAUCGGAACUUACACAAUUUGCAUCGCACGACGCAUCAGACAGGAUCCCCUGCUGUCUAUUGAGAGAUGCACAGUGUGCUGCAUAAAAUACCACUGUGCAUACUGUAAAUUGGUGCGAGCUCCAAACUCACGUAAUAGCUAAUCACAUGCAAAAUGCAGUUCAACAAGAAGAUUUGACCAUCAUGAAGUCUGGUCUAAACUGCAGACCAUCACCACAUAUUCACUGCUGCUAUUGCAUUUCAACAGUAAUCAGACGGGAUGGUAUUAUUAAACAUUUAAAAACCUGUAAAAACAUGAAGACAGCCUCCAUUGCCAGUAGCACCACCACCAUCCCUAUAGCAUCUGCAGCACCACCUCCAAAAAGAUUACGUGUCCGGCAACAAAUCAGGGUGACUUGCACACACUUUCGAAUUCAGAUAUAUCAAAGGAACUUGCUGGUUCAUAUUAACAGAAGACAUUGGCAAAAGGUGUGAAGAGUGAUGGAACAAUACUUGUGUUGAAGCCAACCUCAUCCACAUAAAUAAAUUCAUGGCGAUUUACAUUGGCAUCCAUCUCCAAUACUCUCUGUAACAGACAAAAGGAUAUACAGUUGAGUAAAUAUGUCAAAUCCCACAGCCAGUUGCCCAAGAAAGAAAACUAGCAAAACCAGAUGAAACAGAAGUCAUUCCACCUGAGUCAGAUGUCAUUGAGAUUACCCAAACACCAAGAAUCUCUGACUCAGCGGUCAUGAGAAAUGUUCAUCUGGCCUGUGAGUGGGUGGAGGAGAACCAACGCCACUUUGCUGGGAAGAUUGAACUGCCAAAGAUUUUAAGAAUGAAGGAGAAUGAUGCCUUGUUGGCUAUCACAAUGUGUGACUUAUUUAUAAACACAUUAUAUGAAGGUGACAUGGACGAAGAAGAAAUCCAGGCUCCUUUCUUAUUCACUUUUCAGAGAUUAGAGGACAUGGAAUUUGUAGGAAAUAUGAGACAAAAGAAAUAUCCGUGUUUCUUGUUUCUUUAACCCUGACUUGUGAAUAUUGUGGGAUGUUGUAAAUAUUAUAAAUGUAAAUGUUUUGUUUUUGUAAAAUAACAUUAAAAUUCUGUGUGAAAAUAAGUGUUGUGUUCUUGAAAU
Molecule: long non-coding RNA, 1252 nt
Organism: Triplophysa rosa
Lineage: Eukaryota; Metazoa; Chordata; Actinopteri; Cypriniformes; Nemacheilidae
Exons: 6
Source: RefSeq, a predicted model, not a curated record